AUGUAUAUAUAACGUAGUGUUUGCAUUGUGCUUCCGCCAGGUUUCGCCAGGUGAGUUGUCACUCACACCUUUAUUCUGCACAACCUAGAAUUAUUGUGUCACGUGAUCCCUGUCCACACAUCAGCCUGAGGCUGUGGUGGCACGGUGAGCGAAGGCCUGCGAGUUUGUUCUGAACGACAUCCCAGGACUAUCUUUUCUUUUCGUCAGGGAAAUGUAGUGUACUCAAACGAACAAUCAAAUCUAAGGGGGAAAGGAUGGAAUUGAUCCAACAGUUGCUGAUUGUCACUCUUCACUUGAUAAAAUUUUCUCUUGCGCAUCUCCAGGACAGUACUAACAGGUCAACGGAGGAGGCGCUGGGGCCUACAGGGUUGUCCCUGCAGCCCGGACCCGGCGUGUGUGUCUCUGGUCGACACACAUCCUGCUGCCUGGGAUGGAGGAAUGUUAACGGUGCCUGUCAGCCUGUGUGCAGAAAGCCCUGCAUCCAUGGCACGUGCACACGCCCGGACACGUGCACAUGUUCCAGCGGCUAUGGGGGAGCCCAGUGUGAUCAAGGUAGAGUUGAUAUCCAAGAUACUCUUUCUAGUGUCUCUGGCUGUGACACAAAAUAGAUGAUCAAUGAGGGACAACUGUUGUUGUUCACAACAACUGUAACAUAUACAUUUAAGUUAUGUGUUUCUACUGCGCGUAUUCUGUGCGUAGACAUAUGCCAAUAGUAGUUGUAUGAGAAGUACAUUCUAUGUUAUCUUUCUUAUUGAUGACAUGUCAGGUGACCCCUCUGGUGUCUGUGUCCCAUCAGAUGUGAACGAGUGUGGUUUCCCUGAGCGUUUGUGUUCCCAUCGCUGCAUGAACACACAGGGGAGCUACCGCUGUUACUGUGAACCCGGCUCCACGCUCAGACCAGACGGACACACCUGCACAGAGGGGCCCGGAUGUCCAUCCUUGCGCUGCCAGUUUGGCUGUCAAGGGGGGGCGGGGGGGUUGAUGAGCUGCAUGUGCCCCCCGGGUCUCCGUCUGGCCGCCAACAACAAGACCUGUGAAGGUAGGGGGACAUAUCGGUUAUCAUCGACUCAUCAAUUAGCCGGUGAAUUGUCCUCAAUAAUAAUUGCAAACUGGUGAUUGCUUACCGAUCGACACAAAGUGAUGCCACU
RNAcentral lists this long non-coding RNA (1148 nucleotides) under Gadus morhua (Atlantic cod). Its description in RNAcentral is "lncRNA (ENSGMOG00000035389.1)". Lineage: Eukaryota; Metazoa; Chordata; Actinopteri; Gadiformes; Gadidae. The record is from RNAcentral.